UCCGUAGGUGGAUAAUUAAGUCAGAGGUGAAAGUUUGCAGCUCAACUGUAAAAUUGCCUUUGAUACUGGUUAUCUUGAGUUAUUAUGAAGUAGUUAGAAUAUGUAGUGUAGCGGUGAAAUGCAUAGAUAUUACAUAGAAUACCAAUUGCGAAGGCAGAUUACUAAUAAUAUACUGACACUGAUGGACGAAAGCGUGGGUAGCGAACAGGAUUAGAUACCCUGGUAGUCCC
This 230-nucleotide ribosomal RNA is filed under the name uncultured bacterium. RNAcentral's name for it is "partial 16S ribosomal RNA". It matches the Rfam family "Bacterial small subunit ribosomal RNA", at positions 568 to 797 of the family's 1533-position model. The record is from RNAcentral.